RNAcentral lists this ribosomal RNA (484 nucleotides) under uncultured bacterium. RNAcentral's name for it is "partial 16S ribosomal RNA". It matches the Rfam family "Bacterial small subunit ribosomal RNA", at positions 30 to 507 of the family's 1533-position model. The record is from RNAcentral.
AUUGAACGCUGGCGGCAGGCCUAACACAUGCAAGUCGAGCGGAUGAAGGGAGCUUGCUCCUGGAUUCCGCGGCGGACGGGUGAGUAAUGCCUAGGAAUCUGCCUGGUAGUGGGGGAUAACGUCCGGAGACGGGCGCUAAUACCGCAUACGUCCUGAGGGAGAAAGAUGGGGUUCUUCGGACCUCACGCUAUCAGAUGAGCCUAGGUCGGAUUAGCUAGUUGGGGGGGUAAAGGCCUACCAAGGCGCCGAUCCGUAACUGGUCGGAGAGGGGGAUUAGUCGCACUGGAACGUGUACAGCGUCCAGGCGCCUAAGGGAGGGAGCAGUGGGGAAUAUGGGGCAAUGGGCGGAAACCUUGUCCAACCAGGGCGCGUGUGUGAAGGAGGUCUUCGGAUUGGAAAGCACGUUUAGGUGGGAUGAACGGCAGUAAGUUAAUACCAUGCUGUUUUGACGGUACCAACAGAAUAAGCACCGGCUAACUUCGUG